CCUACGGGAGGCAGCAGUGGGGAAUUUUGCGCAAUGGGGGCAACCCUGACGCAGCAACGCCGCGUGAGUGAUGAAGGCCUUCGGGUCGUAAAGCUCUGUCAGAGGGGAAGAAAUGCAGGUGGUGAACAACCAUUCUGUUUGACGGUACCCUCAAAGGAAGCACCGGCUAACUCCGUGCCAGCAGCCGCGGUAAUACGGAGGGUGCGAGCGUUGUUCGGAAUUAUUGGGCGUAAAGCGCGUGUAGGCGGUUUGUUAAGUCUGAGGUGAAAGCCCCGGGCUCAACCUGGGAAGUGCAUUGGAUACUGGCAGACUUGAGUACGGGAGAGGAGAGUGGAAUUCCCGGUGUAGCGGUAAAAUGCGUAGAUAUCGGGAAGAACACCGGUGGCGAAGGCGGCUCUCUGGACCGUGAUUGACGCUGAGACGCGAAAGCGUGGGGAGCAAACAGGAUUAGAUACCCCUGUAGU
RNAcentral lists this ribosomal RNA (464 nucleotides) under uncultured Desulfuromonadaceae bacterium. RNAcentral's name for it is "partial 16S ribosomal RNA". It matches the Rfam family "Bacterial small subunit ribosomal RNA", at positions 338 to 794 of the family's 1533-position model. The record is from RNAcentral. Lineage: Bacteria; Pseudomonadati; Thermodesulfobacteriota; Desulfuromonadia; Desulfuromonadales; Desulfuromonadaceae.